This 63-nucleotide transfer RNA is filed under the name Neoscona multiplicans. Its description in RNAcentral is "tRNA-Gly". Lineage: Eukaryota; Metazoa; Arthropoda; Arachnida; Araneae; Araneidae. The record is from RNAcentral.
AAUAAUAUAGUAUAUUAGUAUAUUUGAUUUCCAAUCAAAUGGUGAAAAAAAUUUAUCUUUUUA